RNAcentral lists this small RNA (17 nucleotides) under Arabidopsis thaliana (thale cress). RNAcentral's name for it is "ATSL020600". The record is from RNAcentral. Lineage: Eukaryota; Viridiplantae; Streptophyta; Magnoliopsida; Brassicales; Brassicaceae.
UUGCUGAUGCAUCGGUU